RNAcentral lists this ribosomal RNA (449 nucleotides) under uncultured bacterium. RNAcentral's name for it is "partial 16S ribosomal RNA". It matches the Rfam family "Bacterial small subunit ribosomal RNA", at positions 29 to 523 of the family's 1533-position model. The record is from RNAcentral.
AAUGGACGCUGGCGGCAUGCCUAACACAUGCAAGUCGAACGAAGGCUUCGGCCUUAGUGGCGCACGGGUGCGUAACGCGUGGGAAUCUGCCCUCAGGUUCGGAAUAACAGCGAGAAAUUGCUGCUAAUACCGGAUGAUAUCGCGAGAUCAAAGAUUUAUCGCCUGAGGAUGAGCCCGCGUAGGAUUAGCUAGUUGGUGUGGUAAAGGCGCACCAAGGCGACGAUCCUUAGCUGGUCUGAGAGGAUGAUCAGCCACACUGGGACUGAGACACGGCCCAGACUCCUACGGGAGGCAGCAGUGGGGAAUAUUGGACAAUGGGCGAAAGCCUGAUCCAGCAAUGCUGCGUGAGUGAUGAAGGCCUUAGGGUUGUAAAGCUCUUUUACCCGGGAUGAUAAUGACAGUACCGGGAGAAUAAGCUCCGGCUAACUCCGUGCCAGCAGCCGCCGCGG